UCAUCGAUUAUGAAGUGAGGAGUAAUAUUUAUUACUGGUUAAAGAGAGCUAGGAAUGGUGGGAACUAGCACUAAGUGAAAUAUGAAUAACAACACUGAAUCCCCUUUUUGAAAAUAGUAGGAAAGGGCGGGUAAAUCCGUUAUAGUAAAUGAGAUAUCAGUUAAUGAUAAGAAGAGUGGUACCGCGGUAAUACGCCUCUUUA
Molecule: non-coding RNA, 202 nt
Filed under: Bacillota bacterium
Lineage: Bacteria; Bacillati; Bacillota
Description: Firmicutes bacterium T-box sequence
Rfam family: T-box leader
About the family: Uncharged tRNA acts as the effector for transcription antitermination of genes in the T-box leader family. T-boxes are found upstream of many aminoacyl-tRNA synthetase genes and some amino acid biosynthetic genes usually in Gram-positive bacteria.
Source: RNAcentral